UACAGAGGGUGCGAGCGUUAAUCGGAAUUACUGGGCGUAAAGGGUGCGUAGGCGGUUAAGUAAGUGUGAUGUGAAAGCCCCGGGCUUAACCUGGGAAGUGCAUCGCAAACUAUUUAGCUGGAGUAUAAGAGAGGGUGGCGGAAUUUCCGGUGUAGCGGUGAAAUGCGUAGAGAUCGGAAGGAACGUCGAUGGCGAAGGCAGCCACCUGGCUUAAUACUGACGCUGAGGCACGAAAGCGUGGGGAGCGAACAGG
Molecule: ribosomal RNA, 253 nt
Filed under: uncultured bacterium
Lineage: Bacteria
Description: partial 16S ribosomal RNA
Rfam family: Bacterial small subunit ribosomal RNA
Source: RNAcentral